AUUUUGUAAGCAAAUUUUAGUUUGUUUCUCACUCUCUCACUAUGCUUCUUCUUCCGUUCCUCUGCUUGGUCUACUUCUUUCACUGAUCUAUAUAAUGCUGAGAGCACGUGAUAUGGAAAAUCUUACCCGGAGAUAUAUUAUUUGGUUAUAAUGUCCUACAUCUCCCUUGACAUCACAACGAUUACUAAAUGAGAAGGAGGAGUGCUCAUAUUUUCCAAGGAGAUAUAGUGAUCAUGAAUGAUAAAACACAAAAAUCAUGCAAAAUACCCGGCUAUGCUGAUUAUGAGAUGGAGUUGCUCUUUCCUACAAUGCAGCUUGGGAAUUGAAUUCUUUUUUCUGUUUGAUGAGGAAAACUCUUCGAGGUCCAUAAUUUUCUGCUUGAUUUUCGUAGUACAUUUUUUUGCAAGUGAAGCAGUAAUUGGCAAUGUGUUCUGCAUAAUGGUUGGAGAGGGAAGGUUUAUUUGCAUAUAAUUUCCUCUGUCACUCCACUCUGUUAUUAAUUUGAAAUUUGGCGUAGCUAUUUUACAAGUAUGUGACUUCUUGUUCUGCGUUAUGGUGUUUUCUCCGCAGAUAAUUAGCGUAAAUGUAUUUUAUGGAGUUUUCCCUGACUUCCAUAUGAUCUGCUUUUGUAGGAGUUUGGAUAUCGUAAUCGUGUAUGAAAUUAAAAAUCUUCUUAUAAAUGGGUGCAUGAGUGUACGGUGUGUAUUAUUGAUGAUAGGUGAUAAUAGGUAAAUUAGACUAUAAUUAGGCCCUAAAGAACCACAUUUUUGUAUAGCUUUUACGGUAA
Long non-coding RNA from Nicotiana attenuata, 787 nucleotides. RefSeq lists it as uncharacterized. NCBI's taxonomy places the organism in Eukaryota, Viridiplantae, Streptophyta, Magnoliopsida, Solanales, Solanaceae. The record is from RefSeq and is a predicted model, not a curated record. The transcript is spliced from 4 exons.